ACAAGUACCUUAAGGGAAAGUUGAAAUAGAACUUUGCAGAGAGAGUUAAGAGGGCGUGAAACCGUUAAUUGGCAAACGAAUCGGAGCCACGAAGUCGUUUCGUCGAGCCUAGAUCAAGUUCAGUUUGUAAAUUUAUUUACAGGCGUAUUCUUGUGUCUGGCCAAUGUAAGCGUACACUGCAACCAGUUAGACAAUCCCUCAUGGAACCAGCUGAUCUUAGAUGCGCAAGCUUCCAAGUUUAGCGAAAGGUUUGUUUAGUCAAGUUAGUAGUAGUGUGUUAAAGUCUCGUGCUUUAGUGUGCUGCUGGACUUGUGCUAAGUGAGCUAUGAGCAAAUACUGACUGGCAAAAUGAAAAUCACGCGCAAGCGUGUGAUAAAAUAGCAUCCUGCUGUAUGAUAGGCUACGCAAUCCACCGUAGGCAUAUUAAAGUUCGGUUCUUUUGAAUUUGGACUUGCUAGCUACCAAUGGGGCAACUCUUGGUGCUAGUAUAGCUUUCCAUCUAAUCGGGUGCCGGCUUGUAUCUACGUCGUUGUGUUUGCGCUACGAUUGGUUUACAUAUAAGUGGGUAUGUUCUAUAUUGGCAGUGAGUAGGUCGGCUUUCCGAACGACCCGUCUUGAAACACGGACCAAGG
RNAcentral lists this ribosomal RNA (632 nucleotides) under Eriophyidae sp. clone4 AOV-2018. Its description in RNAcentral is "partial large subunit ribosomal RNA". It matches the Rfam family "Eukaryotic large subunit ribosomal RNA", at positions 344 to 671 of the family's 3401-position model. Lineage: Eukaryota; Metazoa; Arthropoda; Arachnida; Trombidiformes; Eriophyidae. The record is from RNAcentral.